ACAUCGCCGCGUAAUCAUGUGAAACUAUCUCUCUAAUCUAAGGAGCCCAAAAAUCACUCAAAAUUUGUUUAUGUGCAGUCUCUACUAGAAAAAAAAACCGAUCUUGAUGCAC
Molecule: small nucleolar RNA, 112 nt
Organism: Caenorhabditis elegans
Lineage: Eukaryota; Metazoa; Nematoda; Chromadorea; Rhabditida; Rhabditidae
Source: Ensembl